Molecule: ribosomal RNA, 253 nt
Filed under: uncultured bacterium
Lineage: Bacteria
Description: partial 16S ribosomal RNA
Rfam family: Bacterial small subunit ribosomal RNA
Source: RNAcentral
UACGAAGGGUGCGAGCGUUAAUCGGAAUUACUGGGCGUAAAGCGUGCGCAGGCGGUUUUGUAAGCCAGAUGUGAAAUCCCCGGGCUUAACCUGGGAAUGGCAUUUGGGACUGCAAGGCUUGAGUGCGGCAGAGGAGACUGGAAUUCCUGGUGUAGCAGUGAAAUGCGUAGAUAUCAGGAGGAACACCGAUGGCGAAGGCAGGUCUCUGGGCUGACACUGACGCUCAUGCACGAAAGCGUGGGGAGCAAACAGG